AGAAUUUUUUCCAGAGCUAUAUAUCUAUUAAAUUUGAAACAAAGAUAUCUACAUAUUUAAUCAACGUAUAUCAUUUUUUUCACAGAGUUUAUACACAGCACGACCAAUACAGGCAAUCCUCUGAUAUGUAACUCCCCCUGUGCAUCAGGUGAAGCAGCUCUGGCGCUCGUUUUCAAAACACCGGGCCGCAUGCGGGUCUGUCAUUAGGCUCCUCAGCCCGCUGCUGCCGCCGCCGCUCCGCUAAUGAAAGCGGGCUAUCCGAGAGAGGGAGGGCGCUAACCCGGCUAAACACCCUCCAUCAACCCCUCAAACAACCGCGGCGCGGGGCUUUUUAGAGAUAUCCGCGAUGUAUCACCACUUAGAGUCAGUUAACGUGACAGAAAUAUAUAUAUUUUUAAUUUUAUUUUUAAGUAUUUUAAGCAAUCACUGUGUUAAAUUUACCUCAGUAGAACAACGACUAUGCUAAGCUAAUUCUGAGGGGAACUUUUUAGCUAGCUAGCUAACUAAGACUUUCCUCAUUAUGAGCCUCAUUAGCCCGAAGCUAACGACACAACCUAGGCAGCCAGCUCACACAAAACAGAUAGCUAGCCUUAUUAGCUAAAAUGUAUUAAAAUUAAACACAUAAACUGUAAUUUAUGCUAACAAUGUAGUUAAAUAUGAUUACAGCACAAAUUAUAAGAGCACCAAAAGCUACAAAUACGAUAGAAAUGGUGCUAAACGUUCGCGCUUAAUGUCCAAGCUAGCUAGCGUUAGCUUGGCUAGCUAGCUAGAUAGUUAGCAUGCCAAUGUUAGCCGAGAAACUAAGCUAGCAAUGCUAACUACAUAAAUAAAUGCAUUUCUCAGUUGUGUAGCGCUAGCAUUUUAGCCAUGUAGCUAACGCUAGCAUAUUCAGAUUUCUCAACAUAGAAAGUAUUGCACGAAAAAGUAAAAAAAAAAAAAUACACCCAUACUAAUUAAAUGAAUCAUUUUCUCUUAUUUUUAAAGCGCAGGUCAGCUUUGAAAAAGUUUUUAACAGGUUUUAACAGGUCAGCUUUGACAGUGAUGACACUUGGUUUGAGCAGUGCAGGUCAGCUUUGACAAUGAUGACACUUGCUGAUAGCAGGUAAUCCAUCUGCAGUUGAGGAUUAAUUCCCUGUUGUUGGAAAGUCCUCAGAGUCACAGACUUCAGUGAACUGCUCCACUCUCAUGGGUCUUCAUGGGCUACAUAAUAAUGGAGAGAGCUGAGAAGAAGACAUAAUUCACAACAGGUUCAUUUGUAUGGAGCCUCUAAAGUAUUAAGGCCCACCUCCAUCGCCAAGACAUCAUCCAGGUUCACACACAGACUGUCUGUAUCAAUCUUUAGGCCACCCAUAGCGCUGAACAUCUCUAAAGGUCUUAUAAUAAAAUGUCAGGCCGUGCGGAUGACCUGCUUCAGAAUAGUCCGGUAUCUGCCCCGAGGCCUGCUGAGCUGCACCAUAUGGUUGGAAGACUGUACACGACCUGCAGCAGGAGGAGAAGGGUGGGAGGAUCUAGAGGCCUAGAGUCAUUAAACUCGUCCAUCUUCUGUCUGAGAGGACCUUUGGCUGGAGCUCAACUAAUGGGAAGUAUUGGACAGUUUUUGGAAAUCUUACAAACUUUCAGGUUUUGUUUAGAUAGAAAAAAUGAGUUUUUAGAGAACUAAUGCUGUAAUUAUACAAUAAA
Molecule: long non-coding RNA, 1680 nt
Organism: Astyanax mexicanus (Mexican tetra)
Lineage: Eukaryota; Metazoa; Chordata; Actinopteri; Characiformes; Acestrorhamphidae
Exons: 5
Source: RefSeq, a predicted model, not a curated record